GGAGGCUUAUUAGUGGACCUGUCAAGCUUGGGCAUUUAAAAAUAUGAAGACUAUAUAAGGACAGAAAGUGGCUAGGUAAAUUUCCAUUCAAUUUGGGACAGUUCUUUAUCGUAAGCUCUAGAAGAUUAGGGUAGAUUCCUUCUUCAGUGACACCAUGGAAAGACCAUUCGUGCCAUUCUUGCAUGUCUUCAAAUUUGAGAAUUUUCAAAGAUGGGAAAU
RNAcentral lists this unclassified non-coding RNA (219 nucleotides) under Hevea brasiliensis (rubber tree). Lineage: Eukaryota; Viridiplantae; Streptophyta; Magnoliopsida; Malpighiales; Euphorbiaceae. The record is from RNAcentral.